UAUACCCUUGCUGAUGCCCAUCUCACCAAGAAAAGGAUCAUGUCUUGGUCAGCAGCCUUGGCACUACAUGUACUUUUGGAGCUCAUCCUGUACCUCCCACUGCUGUGUAAAGACAAGCAGGACACCCUUGUAUUUGCAUGCUGUGAGCAGACCCUGUGAAUGGCCGGUGGGCUCCCUAGAUCUGUCAUCAUCACCUGUUCUGUCACCAUCAAAGAAGGCUGUCAGCUGAAGCAUACAUCCAGUCCAUUUUGCAUUGUAAUGAAAGGCUCUUGGUG
This 275-nucleotide long non-coding RNA is filed under the name Mus musculus (house mouse). Its description in RNAcentral is "long non-coding RNA chr4:88151695-88151970". Lineage: Eukaryota; Metazoa; Chordata; Mammalia; Rodentia; Muridae. The record is from RNAcentral.